Molecule: long non-coding RNA, 566 nt
Organism: Oenanthe melanoleuca
Lineage: Eukaryota; Metazoa; Chordata; Aves; Passeriformes; Muscicapidae
Exons: 3
Source: RefSeq, a predicted model, not a curated record
GUUCCCACAACAUGGACAUGAUGGAUUUUUGUGCAGGACUUUUACCACCAGUGUGUCCUCCAGUGGGAGGUCAGUAGUGUCACAUAGGGCUGAUGCUGAUCCCCUGAUAACUCUGGAGUUAGGUAUCUGGUACGCCUGUGGAGACCUGGCCAAAUCCUCCAGCCAGGGGGAAGGAUGGUAACCAUCUCUCUCUACCACCAUUCAGAGUGAAGAGGACCACAGCUGGCCCCAAAGCAGCAAGGAUUUCCUGCAGGGCAACAAAACAGCCAGAAAAAGGUCACUGAGUCUGUCAGAAGUUAAUCACCAUUUCCAGACCAGGCUGUGAAGUGUGAGAGAGACACCUCUGGCAGCAAGGACGGGAGUGUGCAGCCCUCUAGUGCCCACUGCCAGCCACAGUACUGCAGCAGUGGCCAUGUCCCUGCAGAGCUGCACAGCUUCCCCCUCUGCUGUGAGGACCUGGCAUUCCUGAAUCCACUCCUGACAGGCAGCAGGCCACAGGCUUUGCACCCUGAGGCCCAGGGCACAUUAAAAAUAAUAAAAAAAAUUCCAACCUUUUGUCUUUCAGA